Molecule: long non-coding RNA, 1282 nt
Organism: Chroicocephalus ridibundus (black-headed gull)
Lineage: Eukaryota; Metazoa; Chordata; Aves; Charadriiformes; Laridae
Exons: 4
Source: RefSeq, a predicted model, not a curated record
GCAGCCUCCGAACUAGAACACAGCCGAUUCCUAAUAGAAUUUCCGUUCUUGCAUCAUCCAAAACUGAGGUUCAGCAUGUGGGUUAUACGUACUCUAAUCCUCCCGUGUGCAGCCAGCUUAACAAAUUCUGUUUCCAGUGAGCUGUCUCUUUGAAUGCCGGUAUUCCACGUAGACUUCUCUUCAGGGCUUCAUGUGGAAUCGCCCAACUUCCAGUUGGUAGAUCUGGUGAAGAUUACUUUUUCUUUAUUUGUUUCCAUUUACAGUAGUCAGCCUUUUCUCACCUUGGACUUUAUAUUUCCAGUAGCACAUCAAAACACUGUUUGAAUAACAAAAAUUCAUGUUUUUUGUAGCGGUGCUGAUACUGUUAUACCUCCUGGUGCUCUGGUGGCUGCUGCUGAGCUUUCUAGAUCUUCCUCUCUGUCAGUCAGCAGUUUGUUGGAAGAGAAGGGCUGUCAGAUUCCUGUACUAAGACAACCAGCAUUACCAAGUCUUCUGGGCCCCCAAGGGCAAUCAAUGCCCACGACUGGUCAUCCAACGAGAGCCAGUACACCUCGCUCAGCGGGUGGCAGACCAGGCUGGGACCUGUAAGUGUUCUGCAGAAAUUCAGUAUAUUACUGCUCGUAACCUGUUAAAUGAGGCCGUAGCACGUAACUUAGAUAACAGCUGAUUUAUAAUGAGAAGUUCCAGUUGAGGACGCCUGCGUGGUGAACGUACCCAGAGGACCCAAGCCCCAACGCUACCAGCAUCAACAGCAGUCUUCGUGCCAGCACCUCCGCCUUCCUUGUACCCUCCACCACCCCAAGCACUUCCUCUUCUACCGGGGGCACUACGACCACAGUUUCCUCCCCAGUUUCCACCUGGUCAGCCGCCAUCUGCCAGCUACACUGACUCCCCUCCAGGAUAUCCCCCAGCUCCUGCAAACACGUCAUCAGCCUGGGUACCAACAGCAGUACCAACGGCGCAUUCCGAUCCCAUCCCAGUGACACAAGCUCCUCCUUUAUCUAGGGAGGAGUUUUACAGAGAACACCAGCGACUGGAAGAGGAGUAAGUACUUGGCUCAAGGAAGUUGUGUUUGUUCUUUUUCAUUUUUGUAUUUUGAGAGCGUACUGGACUGCAGUUACGCUGAAGUGCAUCUGACAUAAGCAAAAAUGACAUAGUAUUUUUUUCAACAGGCUUUUUUCUUGCAGACGGCAAACGUGCAAAACUAAAAGAAGACAAAUGUAAUUCUAAAACUGUCCCUUCAACUUACAGGAAUUCUAAACUGGUUUUGCUUAAAUAGGAC